CUGUCACCUAGAUGGCAGCGUCCUUUAGCUGUCCAUGGAGAGGUCAUAAAUGCACCAUCUGGUUUCCCAGCAGGCACAGGAAAAAGUCCUUCAGGGGGCUGCCUGAACUACUGCUGCACUGCCAGCCCGGGACCGAGAGCCGAGCUGAUUGGCGAGCCAUGGCCCAGUCAUGUGAUGGAGCCGACCUCGGCGGGGGGCACCAGCCUUUCACGGGCUGCCGAGGGCAAGACCAGCUGUAUUGACGACACUGAGCCAGAAGGAGCCCCUUCAACAAAGACACACAGAUGCACCCACUGAAAGGUCAGCGAACGGCGUCGUGCGUGAACGAGAUGGGCUCCGGAGUUCCUCCAGAAAGCCCUGAAAUCCAGAAGGGCCUCGUGCCAAGUAACGGCCACGAACAGAUAAGUCACUGUUCAUUCUAUUCUGCUUGACAACAAACUUGCUGCAAGUGAACGGGACACCCGUCGCAAAUCAAACUGGUCCCCCACGUGCCCUGGCAGCAUGGGUGAUGCAUGGACCUGGGUACCACGUGAUGAAUUAGCCCCCUCCCCCUCCCAAAAAAGCCUCUUUUCAGGCUAAAGCGGGGAGCUCAGUGCAGCCUGGAAUGCAGGCACCCAACCAGGAGCACAGCCCCCAAGUCGUAAGUCAUGGUCACUCCUUAGUGGAAUUACCGCUGUCCCUCUGUUGUCCAUUACUCCCACUGUCCUGUAGCUACUUACUUACUUAUUCCUUUUCAGAUUCAUCAAGACAACAUCUGACGUCUUCUAUCACUCUCGGAACAGCUAGAGAAGUGCAAAGAAACUGAGAUGACCCUUUUCUUGACCGUGAUGGUUUCAGUUGACGUGAUUAUCACGUCAAUAUAUGCACAUGCAAUGUAUACGAAGAAUAUCCUGUACUGUUUGUACGUCGGUAUCCCUGUUAUUGAGUGUUACUGUAAACUAAUAAGCCUACGUUCAGCAAUGGUGGUACCCUGGUUCUUACAUGCGUUCAGAAGAUCCGUAAAAAUCAGCAGAGCCUGAAACAUGUUAGUCACAUUCACCAAGAAUCUUUGACAUACAUAUUAUGCCUUCGUAAUUGCACACACACACACACACACACACACAGACAGUACACUGCCACCAACCAGUCCAGUCACACUGCGAUUUCUUAGCUGCCAAAAGUGAGACCUUUCUGAUAACUUGGGGAAGACCUCAGCUCUUCGCCAUCGAUGUCUGAUCUGAUCGCGUUUGGAAGGAGGUCACAGUUCAGUCUGUGUGGGAUAAAUUGGUGGUUGAAGUUGUAGUAUUCUAACCAGCGCGAGACGCUUCUUUUGCGGCUAAGGCUGAUUUUCAACUGGUGCUGCUAUUUGAGAAAGCAUUUUUAUAAAUGAGCUUCCCCAGCACUGACAGAGAUCUCCCCCGCCAGCCUACCACGUAGCAACAAUGCAUGGCUGGAGAGAUCUAGUUUUGGGAGGAAAAUAAUUGCAGAAGUGCCAGCUGACCACAGCAAGUCAUGAUAUCAGAAUCUCCCCGUGGAACGAUCUGCAACAUAUCAUGGCUUUAACUUUAAAUUGUAUUUUGUGGUUUAUAAAAUUUUGAAGUUGGCAAAAAGAACGCAUCAACAAAAUUAGCCCUGUCGUAACACAAAAGCAAGGAGGAUAUUCUAUGCCGCAGGCAUGAGUCUUCCCGAUUCAAAGACGGCAAACUAUUUGUAUAUAGCUAUUUGUUUAAACGAUGGCUUGCAUUAUAAUCCGAACUGAGCUUUGCUCAGAAAUAGCUACUUAUCUCUGGCACCUGAAAUGAAACACAUCAACAUCCUGCCUGUUUACUUUGAUCAAGCCCACGUUAUAUGGUGGCAGUUUCUCUUUUAAAACCUAAAUAUCAGAUGCUGAAUUCUCCCCCAUUGAGCUGUGCUGCACACGCAUGCUAAUAAAUGCUUCAGUGACAUUUUUUGAGUCAUUGGUAGUCGAAAUAUAUACCCGAUAAGAGAGGAAAUGCAGACUUGAAGGGUGAAACCAUACAGCUCAGAACCAAACUGUGUCGUACUACUUUUGACAGUAAGUAGUUAAAAAAAAACUGUACAUAUAAAAGAAUGUAGGCCCUGAUAGUAAGAUCCACCUGACCAAAAAAUCUCUGUGAUCCAGUGUAAACUUAUGAGUCAGUCCUUUUCGCUCCAGAUAUGACUAACGCAUGAGUGUCGGGCUAAUGAAGAACCCAACCGAAGCCACGGUUCUCAGAAUGUACAGCAAAGGUCUUCAAGGCCUGGACAUAAUCCGGUCUGUAACUUUUAAGGCAUUUCCUUCAGUAGCAGCAGGUAGUAAAACCGAAGUUUUGACCGGAAGGGAUCCUACUCUUGCAACAUGUUAGCAUUAAUACGUCAUGAAUGAAUGUAUUUGUUACUGUGAGCUAACAGUCAUUUUGGACAAAAGUGUCCAGUUGGAAUUUAGCGGCGCGAUACGAUGACUGGAAUCAUCGUUGGAAUUCAGGCGAGAAGAGGCACAGGCACUUUAACCUCAGUCGCAUGAAUAACUCAUCGUGGGACACAUGCAUCAGAGUCAUAAGGUGGCAAAGAAAAGUAUGAAUGGAAGUCAUGCCUACACUGCUGAGCAGCACAUUGUGGACAUUCUUCACACCGUGAAUCAGAGCAAGUGAUCCUGAAUUUUAUGAAUACAGCACGCCGUACUUCACAUCUUCAAAGGAGCACUGGAGUCCUUCUCUCGACCUGGCGAUGCUCAUUAACUGUAAACAAUGGUGUAGAAUGCUCAAAUCUGAAUUCUGUCGUCAAGGAGACCAAAACUGUACCUGCCACUUAAAUGGCUAGAGACGAUAGCAGAGUUUAGUUAAUAUAAACACUUUAAUAGGUUGAUUUACACACUGAUAAAACAUUACAAAUGCAGCCAUUAGAGACAUUCAGUAAUUUGAAGCUGACAGCACGCCCUCCUAUAACACUCGCCGAAUUGGCAUAUGUCCAAAAUUAUAGCCCAAAAUAAGCACAAUAUUACUAUCCAGUCUCCCUCCCCAUGGCGACCCGAGUCUUCUGUGACAGAAUCUUUAUAGCCAUGCUGGCUCCCCCGAGAAAAGGCUUAAAUUAUAACACAAUUUCAUUGCUUCUCUGCAAAACUCGCUGUGGUAUAGGGCUAGGUAGGUCAUCCUUAAACUAAUUAUUGUACAGAGGCCUGAUGUCGGAAUAAGAGAGCCAAAGAACAGCGUGUGGAUUUCGGGAGGGGGAAAAAAAAAGAUCAUCGAAUGGAUCAUAAAAGAGGCCUGCAUCUCUUGCCAACAUUUUUAAUGUAAGAAAAUAAGCCUGAGGUGAGUUACUUUUUUAAGAAGGUCACACUGUGUCCAUAAUAUGGCAUAUAAUCACUUGCAAACUACAUUCUGAUCUAUAAUCUAUACAAUGCCUUGGUCAUUGAAAUGUUCAACCAAGGACAGGGAAAAAGUAAUUAAGUACAUCAAAGCUGCCAGAUCCAUGGUUUUUGUUGGCCGUCGUCCAUGUGCGUGAUGAAACCCCAACAGCCAUCCUGUUAAUUACUAAAACACCCUGCAUUUUCUCCCGUGAGCAGUUGCUCUUCGUUUUUAACUGCCUCAAUUACGGUAAAUUUGUUUUGCGGUGCCAUGACCGGGCUCAUAUUUCCUUUGGAGGAAACCAAUUUGCCCAUCAACUCUGCAAUGCUGCGCUUUCAAAGAAUAAUAAUAAUAACCGUCAUCAUCAGCAUCGGACAAAAUAAA
This is a long non-coding RNA of Brienomyrus brachyistius, 3707 nucleotides long. RefSeq lists it as uncharacterized. The record is from RefSeq and is a predicted model, not a curated record. NCBI's taxonomy places the organism in Eukaryota, Metazoa, Chordata, Actinopteri, Osteoglossiformes, Mormyridae. The transcript has 3 exons.